RNAcentral lists this transfer RNA (76 nucleotides) under Gallionellaceae bacterium. RNAcentral describes it as "tRNA-His". It matches the Rfam family "tRNA". Rfam says of the family: Transfer RNA (tRNA) molecules are approximately 80 nucleotides in length. Their secondary structure includes four short double-helical elements and three loops (D, anti-codon, and T loops). Further hydrogen bonds mediate the characteristic L-shaped molecular structure. tRNAs have two regions of fundamental functional importance: the anti-codon, which is responsible for specific mRNA codon recognition, and the 3' end, to which the tRNAs corresponding amino acid is attached (by aminoacyl-tRNA synthetases). tRNAs cope with the degeneracy of the genetic code in two manners: having more than one tRNA (with a specific anti-codon) for a particular amino acid; and 'wobble' base-pairing, i.e. permitting non-standard base-pairing at the 3rd anti-codon position. The record is from RNAcentral. Lineage: Bacteria; Pseudomonadati; Pseudomonadota; Betaproteobacteria; Nitrosomonadales; Gallionellaceae.
GUGGUUGUAGCUCAACAGGCAGAGUACGCGGCUGUGAACCGCGUGGAUGCCGGUUCAAAUCCGGUCGAUCACCCCA